GAGUUUGAUCCUGGCUCAGAUUGAACGCUGGCGGCACGCCUAACACAUGCAAGUCGAGCGGCAGCAUGAUGUGUAGUAAUACACAUUGAUGGCGAGCGGCGGACGGGUGAGGAACACGUAGGAAUCUACCCUCAAGCGGGGGACAACCAAGGGAAACUUUGGCUAAUACCGCAUAAACUCGGAAGAGAAAAGUUGCUCGUAAGGGUGACACUUGGGGAGGAGCCUGCGUCCGAUUAGCUAGUUGGUAGGGUAAGAGCCUACCAAGGCGAUGAUCGGUAACUGGUCUGAGAGGACGACCAGUCACACUGGGACUGAGACACGGCCCAGACUCCUACGGGAGGCAGCAGUGGGGAAUCUUGGACAAUGGGGGCAACCCUGAUCCAGCGAUGCCGCGUGAGUGAAGAAGGCCU
RNAcentral lists this ribosomal RNA (410 nucleotides) under uncultured Gammaproteobacteria bacterium. RNAcentral describes it as "bacterial SSU rRNA". It matches the Rfam family "Bacterial small subunit ribosomal RNA", at positions 9 to 417 of the family's 1533-position model. Lineage: Bacteria; Pseudomonadati; Pseudomonadota; Gammaproteobacteria. The record is from RNAcentral.